CAAAAGGGUAAUUUAUUCAGAGACCGUUGAGCCCCCGUGGCUUUCCAAGUUCCGAAAGUGGCUGUUUUUGGGUACGAAAAUGGAAGAGGCUCUCGACAAAUGACGAUUUUGGCGCCAAAAAAAGCACGAGGUCGCUGUCGCGUCUCGAGCCUCGAUGGCUCAAACAAUCCUCUGCAUCAAAAUUGAUAAAUGCCUGACAUGAGAAAGAACGAUCCGAGCCGAUCCCAGCAAUUGCAUUUGGCAUUUGGUUAAGAUGCGAGCCCGAGUUGCAGUCAACAACGCCAAAAGACCACAGAGGCACAGGCCAUCAGAAUGGGAAGUUUUUAAUUUCUGGUCAAUUUUUUUGUCUUUCUGCUUAUCCCUUCUGAAGGCGUCAAUAAAAAAUAUUUUUUCCAUCAUUUCGUACAACGUUGUUUUGUUACCGCCACCGGUUUCACAAAACCGGAUACAAAAUAUGAUUGAAGAAGUCGUAGGUUCCUUUUUGAACUGAGGGAUAUUUCCGAGUCCUCAAAUCAAAUUGGUUAAGGCUGACAGUGUGCCCUCCGAUGUUCGAAGCAUUGGGUUGUUUAGUUGGUUUGCAACUUUAAGGAUCAAGCAGAGGCAUCGGAACAAAAAUUCUCAUAAUCUGAGUAGUCCGGCUCUGGAAUUGGCUUUUUCCUCUUCUAGGGAUACACGUUUUUUUUUUUUUUUAAUUCUAUCAUCCAAUAUUUUGAGAAACCUGGAUGUUACCACUUUUAAGACUAAUCCAGAUCUCAUUGUGUGGGACCACUUAGUACUUGGAAUACAAAUGUUUUACCACCACGUUUGUAUAAUGCAUUGGAUUUGUUCGAUCUGCCCCUUGCAAGUCUCACGUCAAAGUUUAGAAUGUUGUUUUAUGCGGGUCCUUUUUAGUACAAUCUUUAGUUACAAGACUAUGGCUUGACCAGAACUUGCUUGUUGCAGAAUUUGUGUGAUUAGUCCGGCAAGAGCCAACUGAGUGAAUUUAUUCAUUGUGUUGAAGUAAAUGAAACAUUAAAGCACAAUCUACAAAUAAUAUCUGAAUGUUUAAUGAUGCGUCGAGGGAUCAUGAUUUUUUUUUUUAAUAGAAGUUAAUUUAGAGAAUGGUACAAAGCCUGAAAAACAAUAUUUUAUAAUAGAUUAUAACUUAGUAAAUUAAAUGAUUCUUGUUAAUGCACGCGUGAAUAACGACUUUACUAUACAGGUUCAAAUUGCGGUCACGUUCAAUGAAUUCAAAUCAAGUGCCCAAGUUGCUGAGUGCUAUAAUAUCAAAAGGCAUAACUAUAGGUUGGAAUACCACUGGUAUGGCAUUUCCAGCCGAGAAUCAUCUUGUCUUGUGCUCGAGGAUGUCGAUUUUGAUCUUAGCUUCUCUGUGUAUCCAUUUCAAGCAUAUUCUCAGCUUCUUGUUCAUAUACUUAAAUUUUGAAGAAAAGAUUAUUAAAUUUUCAUCUCAGCUUCUUGUUCACAUUC
Prosopis cineraria is the source of this 1467-nucleotide long non-coding RNA. RefSeq lists it as uncharacterized. The transcript has 2 exons. The record is from RefSeq and is a predicted model, not a curated record. Lineage: Eukaryota; Viridiplantae; Streptophyta; Magnoliopsida; Fabales; Fabaceae.